CCUACGGGUGGCAGCAGUGAGGAAUAUUGGUCAAUGGGCUUACGCCUGAACCAGCCCAGUCGCGUGCGGGAAGACUGCCCUAUGGGUUGUAAACCACAUUUGUCGGGGAGCAACGCCGGCUACGUGUAUCCUGACUGAGAGUACCUGAAAAACAAGCAUCGGCUAACGCCGUGCCAGCAGCCGCGGUAAUACGGAGGAUCCGAGCGUUAUCCGGAUUUAUUGGGUUUAAAGGGAGCGUAGGUGGAUUGUUAAGUCAGUUGUGAAAGUUUGCGGCUGAACCGUAAAAUUGCAGUUGAAACUGGCAGUCUUGAGUACAGUAGAGGUGGGCGGAAGUCGUGGUGUAGCGGUGAAAUGCUUAGAUAUCACGAAGAACUCCGAUUGCGAAGGCAGUUCACUGGACUGCAACUGACACUGAGGCUCGAAAGUGUGGGUAUCGAACAGGAUUAGAUACCCGAGUAGUC
Molecule: ribosomal RNA, 461 nt
Filed under: uncultured bacterium
Lineage: Bacteria
Description: partial 16S ribosomal RNA
Rfam family: Bacterial small subunit ribosomal RNA
Source: RNAcentral